CCUACGGGAGGCAGCAGUGGGGAAUAUUGGUCAAUGGGCGAAAGCCUGAACCAGCGACGCCGCGUGGAGGAUGAAGGCCGAAAGGUCUUUAAACUCCUUUUGUAAGGGAAAAAGGAAUGAGGUGUGAAUAAUGCCUAUCUGAUG
RNAcentral lists this ribosomal RNA (144 nucleotides) under uncultured bacterium. Its description in RNAcentral is "partial 16S ribosomal RNA". It matches the Rfam family "Bacterial small subunit ribosomal RNA", at positions 338 to 474 of the family's 1533-position model. The record is from RNAcentral.